RNAcentral lists this non-coding RNA (23 nucleotides) under Cricetulus griseus (Chinese hamster). The record is from RNAcentral. Lineage: Eukaryota; Metazoa; Chordata; Mammalia; Rodentia; Cricetidae.
UCUCGGGCUGGACCCCCUCUGUA